This 402-nucleotide ribosomal RNA is filed under the name uncultured bacterium. Its description in RNAcentral is "bacterial SSU rRNA". It matches the Rfam family "Bacterial small subunit ribosomal RNA", at positions 355 to 774 of the family's 1533-position model. The record is from RNAcentral.
UGGGGAAUCUUCCGCAAUGGACGAAAGUCUGACGGAGCAACGCCGCGUGGGUGACGAAGGUUUUCGGAUCGUAAAACCCUGUCAAGAAGGAAGAAAAAAGACGGUACUUCUGAAGGAAGCCCCGGCUAACUACGUGCCAGCAGCCGCGGUAAUACGUAGGGGGCAAGCGUUGCCCGGAAUUACUGGGCGUAAGGGCGCGUAGGCGGUGUGUCAAGUCAGGCGUGAAAGCCCCGGGCUCAACCUGGGAACCGCGCUUGAGACUGGCACGCUAGAGUUCGGGAGAGGAUGGUGGAAUUCCCAGUGUAGAGGUGAAAUGCUUAGAUAUCACGAAGAACUCCAAUUGCGAAGGCAGCUUGCUGGACUGUAACUGACGCUGAUGCUCGAAAGUGUGGGUAUCAAACA